RNAcentral lists this ribosomal RNA (530 nucleotides) under uncultured bacterium. Its description in RNAcentral is "partial 16S ribosomal RNA". It matches the Rfam family "Bacterial small subunit ribosomal RNA", at positions 355 to 874 of the family's 1533-position model. The record is from RNAcentral.
UGGGGAAUAUUGCACAAUGGGCGCAAGCCUGAUGCAGCCAUGCCGCGUGUGUGAAGAAGGCCUCGGGUUGUAAGGCACUUUCAGCGAGGAGGAAGGUGGUGGACUUAAUACGUUCAUCAAUUGACGUUACUCGCAGAAGAAGCACCGGCUAACUCCGUGCCAGCAGCCGCGGUAAUACGGAGGGUGCAAGCGUAAUCGGAAUUACUGGGCGUAAAGCGCACGCAGGCGGUUUGUUAAGUCAGAUGUGAAAUCCCCGGGCUCAACCUGGGAACUGCAUUUGAAACUGGCAAGCUAGAGUCUCGUAGAGGGGGGUAGAAAUUCCAGGUGUAGCGGUGAAAUGCGUAGAGAUCUGGAGGAAUACCGGUGGCGAAGGCGGCCCCCUGGACGAAGACUGACGCUCAGGUGCGAAAAGCGUGGGGAGCAAAACAGGAUUAGAUACCCUGGUAGUCCACGCUGUAAAACGAUGUCGAUUUUGGAGGUUGUGCCCUUGAGGCGUGGCUUCCGGAGCUAACGCGUUAAAUCGACCGCCU